Molecule: ribosomal RNA, 465 nt
Filed under: uncultured bacterium
Lineage: Bacteria
Description: partial 16S ribosomal RNA
Rfam family: Bacterial small subunit ribosomal RNA
Source: RNAcentral
CUACGGGGGGCUGCAGUGGGGAAUAUUGGACAAUGGGGGAAACCCUGAUCCAGCAAUGCCGCGUGUGUGAAGAAGGCCUGCGGGUUGUAAAGCACUUUCGGUUGGGAGGACUGCUUCUAGCACUAAUAUUGUUGGAAGUUGACGUUACCUUCAGAAGAAGCACCGGCUACCUCCGUGCCAGCAGCCGCGGUAAUACGGAGGGUGCAAGCGUUAAUCGGAAUUACUGGGCGUAAAGCGCGCGUAGGCGGCUAGAUCAGUCGGGUGUGAAAGCCCCGGGCUUAACCUGGGAACUGCAUCCGAUACUGUCGAGCUUGAGUACAGGAGAGGAGAGUGGAAUUCCACAUGUAGCGGUGAAAUGCGUAGAUAUGUGGAGGAACACCAAUGGCGAAGGCAGCUCUCUGGCCUGAUACUGACGCUGAGGUGCGAGAGCGUGGGGAGCAAACAGGAUUAGAUACCCUCGUAGUC